UACGAAGGGGGCUAGCGUUGCUCGGAAUGACUGGGCGUAAAGGGCGCGUAGGCGGUUUGGACAGUCAGAUGUGAAAUUCCUGGGCUCAACCUGGGGGCUGCAUUUGAUACGUUCGGACUAGAGUGGGGAAGAGGGUCGUGGAAUUCCCAGUGUAGAGGUGAAAUUCGUAGAUAUUGGGAAGAACACCGGUGGCGAAGGCGGCUCACUGGACCGACACUGACGCUGAGGCGCGAAAGCGUGGGGAGCAAACAGG
RNAcentral lists this ribosomal RNA (253 nucleotides) under uncultured bacterium. RNAcentral describes it as "partial 16S ribosomal RNA". It matches the Rfam family "Bacterial small subunit ribosomal RNA", at positions 524 to 776 of the family's 1533-position model. The record is from RNAcentral.